UACGUAGGGUGCGCGCGUUAAUCGGAAUUACUGGGCGUAAAGCGUGCGCAGGCGGUUUUGCAAGCCGGAUGUGAAAUCCCCGGGCUCAACCUGGGAAUGGCAUUCGGGACUGCAAGGCUGGAGUGCGGCAGAGGAGACUGGAAUUCCUGGUGUAGCAGUGAAAUGCGUAGAUAUCAGGAGGAACACCGAUGGCGAAGGCAGGUCUCUGGGCUGACACUGACGCUCAUGCACGAAAGCGUGGGGAGCAAACGGG
RNAcentral lists this ribosomal RNA (253 nucleotides) under uncultured bacterium. RNAcentral's name for it is "partial 16S ribosomal RNA". It matches the Rfam family "Bacterial small subunit ribosomal RNA", at positions 524 to 776 of the family's 1533-position model. The record is from RNAcentral.